RNAcentral lists this ribosomal RNA (759 nucleotides) under Escherichia coli. RNAcentral describes it as "bacterial SSU rRNA". It matches the Rfam family "Bacterial small subunit ribosomal RNA", at positions 786 to 1533 of the family's 1533-position model. Lineage: Bacteria; Pseudomonadati; Pseudomonadota; Gammaproteobacteria; Enterobacterales; Enterobacteriaceae. RNAcentral also lists the same sequence under 1 other name. The record is from RNAcentral.
CCUGGUAGUCCACGCCGUAAACGAUGUCGACUUGGAGGUUGUGCCCUUGAGGCGUGGCUUCCGGAGCUAACGCGUUAAGUCGACCGCCUGGGGAGUACGGCCGCAAGGUUAAAACUCAAAUGAAUUGACGGGGGCCCGCACAAGCGGUGGAGCAUGUGGUUUAAUUCGAUGCAACGCGAAGAACCUUACCUGGUCUUGACAUCCACGGAAGUUUUCAGAGAUGAGAAUGUGCCUUCGGGAACCGUGAGACAGGUGCUGCAUGGCUGUCGUCAGCUCGUGUUGUGAAAUGUUGGGUUAAGUCCCGCAACGAGCGCAACCCUUAUCCUUUGUUGCCAGCGGUCCGGCCGGGAACUCAAAGGAGACUGCCAGUGAUAAACUGGAGGAAGGUGGGGAUGACGUCAAGUCAUCAUGGCCCUUACGACCAGGGCUACACACGUGCUACAAUGGCGCAUACAAAGAGAAGCGACCUCGCGAGAGCAAGCGGACCUCAUAAAGUGCGUCGUAGUCCGGAUUGGAGUCUGCAACUCGACUCCAUGAAGUCGGAAUCGCUAGUAAUCGUGGAUCAGAAUGCCACGGUGAAUACGUUCCCGGGCCUUGUACACACCGCCCGUCACACCAUGGGAGUGGGUUGCAAAAGAAGUAGGUAGCUUAACCUUCGGGAGGGCGCUUACCACUUUGUGAUUCAUGACUGGGGUGAAGUCGUAACAAGGUAACCGUAGGGGAACCUGCGGUUGGAUCACCUCCUUACCUUAAAGAAGC